This is a long non-coding RNA of Melanotaenia boesemani (Boeseman's rainbowfish), 130 nucleotides long. RefSeq lists it as uncharacterized. The transcript is spliced from 3 exons. Lineage: Eukaryota; Metazoa; Chordata; Actinopteri; Atheriniformes; Melanotaeniidae. The record is from RefSeq and is a predicted model, not a curated record.
UUUGGUCAUGUGAUGUUCAGGAAAAUAAUACAGACUUUGCUUCAGGCUUCAUUUGGACACGCCCCCUUUACUCGAUGCAGGCUUUGGGGCUUUUGUGUCAGAAGUAACAUCACUGUCUGGACCUGAUGCA